This 410-nucleotide ribosomal RNA is filed under the name uncultured bacterium. Its description in RNAcentral is "bacterial SSU rRNA". It matches the Rfam family "Bacterial small subunit ribosomal RNA", at positions 434 to 842 of the family's 1533-position model. The record is from RNAcentral.
UUUGCCAGGGAGCAAUGCCGUCCACGUGUGGACGGAAGGAGAGUACCUGGAGAAAAAGCAUCGGCUAACUCCGUGCCAGCAGCCGCGGUAAUACGGAGGAUGCGAGCGUUAUCCGGAUUUAUUGGGUUUAAAGGGUGCGUAGGCGGCCUGCCAAGUCAGCGGUAAAAUUGCGGGGCUCAACCCCGUACAGCCGUUGAAACUGCCGGGCUCGAGUGGGCGAGAAGUAUGCGGAAUGCGUGGUGUAGCGGUGAAAUGCAUAGAUAUCACGCAGAACCCCGAUUGCGAAGGCAGCAUACCGGCGCCCGACUGACGCUGAGGCACGAAAGUGCGGGGAUCAAACAGGAUUAGAUACCCUGGUAGUCCGCACAGUAAACGAUGAAUGCUAGCUGUCCGGGGGGAUUGACCCCUGG